This 572-nucleotide ribosomal RNA is filed under the name Exophiala xenobiotica. RNAcentral's name for it is "eukaryotic LSU rRNA". The stretch from base 167 to 322 matches the Rfam family "5.8S ribosomal RNA". The record is from RNAcentral. Lineage: Eukaryota; Fungi; Ascomycota; Eurotiomycetes; Chaetothyriales; Herpotrichiellaceae.
GACCUCCAACCCUUUGCUUAUUAUACCUUGUGUUGCUUCGGUAGGUCUGGCUCCGUCCUACCGGAGGACCGUCAAAACGUCCUCUGGAGAGUGCCUACCGAUAGCCCAUACCAAAACUCUUGAACAAAACAUGUCUUGUCUGAGUACACCAAAAAAAUUAAAGCAAAACUUUCAACAACGGAUCUCUUGGGUUCUGGCAUCGAUGAAGAACGCAGCGAAAUGCGAUAAGUAAUGCGAAUUGCAGAAUUCCAGUGAGUCAUCGAAUCUUUGAACGCACAUUGCGCCCUUUGGUAUUCCGAAGGGCAUGCCUGUUCGAGCGUCAUUUUCACCCCUCAAGCCCCCGGCUUGGUGUUGGACGGUUUGGUUUAGGUACCCCUAGACCCCUCCUAAAGACAAUGACGGCGGCGGUUGAACCCCCGGUACACUGAGCUUCUUAACUGAGCACGUAUCGGAUCUAGGGUUUGGCGGCACCCGGUCUCUACCUUUUUGCUUACAAGGUUGACCUCGGAUCAGGUAGGAAUACCCGCUGAACUUAAGCAUAUCAAUAAGCGGAGGAAAAGAAACCAACAGGA